UAAGGAAUAUUGGUCAAUGGACGCAAGUCUGAACCAGUCAUGCCGCGUGAAGGAAGACGGCCCUACGGGUUGUAAACUUCUUUUGUACGGGAAAAAACCACCGGUCGAGCAUCGGUGCUGAUGGUACCGUAAGAAUAAGCAUCGGCUAACUCCGUGCCAGCAGCCGCGGGAAUACGGAGGAUGCAAGCGUUAUCCGGAUUCAUUGGGUUUAAAGGGUGCGCAGGCGGAAUGAUAAGUCAGUGGUGAAAUCCUACAGCUCAACGGUAGAACUGCCAUUGAUACUGUGGUUCUUGAGUACACUUGGAGUGGGCGGAAUGUGUCAUGUAGCGGUGAAAUGCUUAGAUAUGACACAGAACACCGAUCGCGAAGGCAGCUCACUAAAUUGUAACUGACGCUCAUGCACGAAAGCGUGGGGAUCAAACA
RNAcentral lists this ribosomal RNA (423 nucleotides) under uncultured prokaryote. RNAcentral's name for it is "bacterial SSU rRNA". It matches the Rfam family "Bacterial small subunit ribosomal RNA", at positions 355 to 774 of the family's 1533-position model. The record is from RNAcentral.